Molecule: long non-coding RNA, 869 nt
Filed under: Homo sapiens (human)
Lineage: Eukaryota; Metazoa; Chordata; Mammalia; Primates; Hominidae
Description: HSALNT0080281
Source: RNAcentral
CGGGGCUCCAAAUCACAUCUCUGGUUCAAUAUCUCUGGUUCACCUUUACAAAUCCACCCCCACUGCCUCAAGAACAGACCCGCGAUUCUCUCUUCAGUGGUUGGAAUGUGAAGAGGGUUCUUCCUAAUAGGAAACUAGGGGACAAUUAUUUUUGAGGUGCUCAGAAAUGGACAUUUCCACAAUAAGCAGGAAGAAUCAGAGCAAGUGGAGGAGGAAAGUGGAAGAAGAAUAAAUGAAGGAACGUGUCAGCUUGUCUCCCUACUGCUGCUCUGCAACCUGCGGUGGAGAGAAGUGAUAAAGAGGACUUUACACCGAAAAUAUUAUUGGGGCUAGAAAUUGUCUUUAAAAAGAGAAUGUUCUUAGAAGCAAAAUGACCCCAAAUCAUUGUGAUUUACCAGAUUAAAUUCUUGGUCAAUUAGCAAAGAAGGGAUCUCUGACAAACUGAAUUAACAGACUAAGAUGGCAGAGAAAUAAAGCCCACUUAAGAAACAAUUUGCACUUCAUUUGUUGGGAAACAAUUUUAAAAAGGAAAUUACCAUAUCUUAUUUAAGUUUACACCCUUAACAACUGGUCAAGAGUCUGAUACCUAAGUAAACAUUCAGUAUGUUCUGUUAAAACAGAAUAAAUACAUCAAUUAAUUCUCCUGGAAACUAAAAUUAAUUAUGAAACAAAAUAAACAUGUGCCUUAUCAUGCUUGCAGAAAGAGGAAAACAACAAAUAUAUGUGAAGACUGAAGUGCAGCCAUUUGAGAAAUACUAUUGUUGUUAGACUUGUGAUUUCUCAGGAGGGUAAUCACACUCCAGCUACCUUUGAAUAACGUCUUGAAUUUACUAGAUGUGAAAUAUAUUUCCCUGGAAAAUUAAAAUCUC